ACUCCUACGGGAGGCAGCAGUGGGGAAUAUUGGACAAUGGGCGCAAGCCUGAUCCAGCCAUGCCGCGUGAGUGAUGAAGGCCCUAGGGUUGUAAAGCUCUUUCACCGGUGAAGAUAAUGACGGUAACCGGAGAAGAAGCCCCGGCUAACUUCGUGCCAGCAGCCGCGGUAAUACGAAGGGGGCUAGCGUUGUUCGGAUUUACUGGGCGUAAAGCGCACGUAGGCGGACUAUUAAGUCAGGGGUGAAAUCCCGGGGCUCAACCCCGGAACUGCCUUUGAUACUGGUAGUCUUGAGUUCGAGAGAGGUGAGUGGAAUUCCGAGUGUAGAGGUGAAAUUCGUAGAUAUUCGGAGGAACACCAGUGGCGAAGGCGGCUCACUGGCUCGAUACUGACGCUGAGGUGCGAAAGCGUGGGGAGCAAACAGGAUUAGAAACCCUAGUAGUCCCAUG
This 448-nucleotide ribosomal RNA is filed under the name uncultured organism. RNAcentral describes it as "partial 16S ribosomal RNA". It matches the Rfam family "Bacterial small subunit ribosomal RNA", at positions 335 to 799 of the family's 1533-position model. The record is from RNAcentral.